GAUGAACGCUGGCGGCGUGCCUAAUACAUGCAAGUCGAGCGAACAGACGAGGAGCUUGCUCCUCUGACGUUAGCGGCGGACGGGUGAGUAACACGUGGAUAACCUACCUAUAAGACUGGGAUAACUUCGGGAAACCGGAGCUAAUACCGGAUAAUAUUUUGAACCGCAUGGUUCAAUAGUGAAAGACGGUCUUGCUGUCACUUAUAGAUGGAUCCGCGCUGCAUUAGCUAGUUGGUAAGGUAACGGCUUACCAAGGCAACGAUGCAUAGCCGACCUGAGAGGGUGAUCGGGCACACUGGAAGUGAGACACGGUCCAGACUCCUACGGGAGGCAGCAGUAGGGAAUCUUCCGCAAUGGGCGAAAGCCUGACGGAGCAACGCCGCGUGAGUGAUGAAGGUCUUCGGAUCGUAAAACUCUGUUAUUAGGGAAGAACAAAUGUGUAAGUAACUGUGCACAUCUUGACGGUACCUAAUCAGAAAGCCACGGCUAACUACGUG
RNAcentral lists this ribosomal RNA (497 nucleotides) under uncultured bacterium. RNAcentral describes it as "partial 16S ribosomal RNA". It matches the Rfam family "Bacterial small subunit ribosomal RNA", at positions 28 to 507 of the family's 1533-position model. The record is from RNAcentral.